UACGAGAGCCCCGAGCGUUAUCCGGAAUUAUUGGGCGUAAAGGGUGCGUAGGUGGUUGUGUUAGUCGUUUGUCAAAUCUCUGGGCUUAACCCAGAAACCGCGAGCGAAACGGCACAACUAGAGAGUGUGGGGGGCAUAGGGAACUCAUGGUGUAGGGGUGAAAUCCGUUGAUAUCAUGGGGAACACCAAAAGCGAAAGCACUAUGCUAACACAUAUCUGACACUCAAGCACGAAAGCGUGGGUAGCGAAU
Molecule: ribosomal RNA, 250 nt
Filed under: uncultured bacterium
Lineage: Bacteria
Description: partial 16S ribosomal RNA
Rfam family: Bacterial small subunit ribosomal RNA
Source: RNAcentral